GACAGAGGAGGCAAGCGUUGUUCGGAAUCAUUGGGCUUAAAGGGCGUGCAGGCGGCGGCGCACGUGUCGCGUGAAAUCCCAUCGCUCAACGAUGGAACGGCUCGGCAAACUGCGUCGCUUGAGGUCGGUAGAGGUGCUCGGAACUCUAGGUGGAGCGGUGAAAUGCGUAGAUAUCUAGAGGAACGCCUGAGGCGAAAGCGGGGCACUGGGCCGAUUCUGACGCUGAGACGCGAAAGCGUGGGGAGCAAACAGG
Molecule: ribosomal RNA, 253 nt
Filed under: uncultured bacterium
Lineage: Bacteria
Description: partial 16S ribosomal RNA
Rfam family: Bacterial small subunit ribosomal RNA
Source: RNAcentral